UAUUGGGCGUAAGAGCUCGUAGGCGGUUUGUCGCGUCUGCUGUGAAAUCCCGAGGCUCAACCUCGGGUCUGCAGUGGGUACGGGCAGACUAGAGUGCGGUAGGGGAGAUUGGAAUUCCUGGUGUAGCGGUGGAAUGCGCAGAUAUCAGGAGGAACACCGAUGGCGAAGGCAGAUCUCUGGGCCGUAACUGACGCUGAGGAGCGAAAGGGUGGGGAGCAAACAGGCUUAGAUACCCUGGUAGUCCACCCCGUAAACGUUGGGAACUAGUUGUGGGGUCCUUUCCACGGAUUCCGUGACGCAGCUAACGCAUUAAGUUCCCCGCCUGGGGAGUACGGCCGCAAGGCUAAAACUCAAAGGAAUUGACGGGGACCCGCACAAGCGGCGGAGCAUGCGGAUUAAUUCGAUGCAACGCGAAGAACCUUACCAAGGCUUGACAUACACGAGAACACCCUAGAAAUAGGGGACUCUUUGGACACUCGUGAACAGGUGGUGCAUGGUUGUCGUCAGCUCGUGUCGUGAGAUGUUGGGUUAAGUCCCGCAACGAGCGCAACCCUCGUUCUAUGUUGCCAGCACGUAAUGGUGGGAACUCAUGGGAUACUGCCGGGGUCAACUCGGAGGAAGGUGGGGAUGACGUCAAAUCAUCAUGCCCCUUAUGUCUUGGGCUUCACGCAUGCUACAAUGGCCGGUACAAAGGGCUGCAAUACCGUGAGGUGGAGCGAAUCCCAAAAAGCCGGUCCCAGUUCGGAUUGAGGUCUGCAACUCGACCUCAUGAAGUCGGAGUCGCUAGUAAUCGCAGAUCAGCAACGCUGCGGUGAAUACGUUCCCGGGUCUUGUACACACCGCCCGUCAAGUCAUGAAAGUCGGUAACACCUGAAGCCGGUGGCCCAACCCUUGUGGAGGGAGCCGUCGAAGUGGGAUCGGUAAUUAGGACGAAGUCGUAC
RNAcentral lists this ribosomal RNA (941 nucleotides) under Microbacterium sp. Its description in RNAcentral is "bacterial SSU rRNA". It matches the Rfam family "Bacterial small subunit ribosomal RNA", at positions 552 to 1491 of the family's 1533-position model. The record is from RNAcentral. Lineage: Bacteria; Bacillati; Actinomycetota; Actinomycetes; Micrococcales; Microbacteriaceae.